AGCAGCCGCGGUAAUUCCAGCUCCAAUAGCGUAUAUUAAAGUUGUUGCAGUUAAAAAGCUCGUAGUUGAAUUUCGGGGUUCUACCGUUGGUCGGGCUAUUGUCUGUACUGGCGUGUAGAAUUUCUACCUUCUGGGGAACUAUCAUGUUAUUAAUUUAGCGUGGUAGGAAACCAGAACCUUUACCUUGAAAAAAUUAGAGUGUUCAAAGCAGGCUUAUGUCUGAAUACAUUAGCAUGGAAUAAUAAAAUAGGACGGUGGUCCUGUUUUGUUGGUUUCUGAAUCACCGUAAUGAUUAAUAGGGAUAGUUGGGGGCAUUAGUAUUCAAUUGUCAGAGGUGAAAUUCUUGGAUUUAUUGAAGACUAACUACUGCGAAAAGCAUUUGCCAAGGAUGUUUUCAUUAAUCAAGAACGAAAGUUAGGGAUCGAAGACGAUCAGAUACCGUCGUAGUCUUAACCAUAAACUAUGCCGACUAGGGAUCGGACGAUGUUAACUUUUCUUGACUCGUUCGGCGCCUUACGGG
RNAcentral lists this ribosomal RNA (520 nucleotides) under uncultured Scutellospora. Its description in RNAcentral is "SSU rRNA". It matches the Rfam family "Eukaryotic small subunit ribosomal RNA", at positions 569 to 1094 of the family's 1831-position model. Lineage: Eukaryota; Fungi; Glomeromycota; Glomeromycetes; Diversisporales; Gigasporaceae. The record is from RNAcentral.